CAGUCGCCGCGGGAAUACGGAGGGGGCUAGCGUUGUUCGGAAUUACUGGGCGUAAAGCGCACGUAGGCGGCUUGGUAAGUUAGAGGUGAAAGCCUGGAGCUCAACUCCAGAAUUGCCUUUAAGACUGCCGAGCUAGCAGGUGAGAGAGGUAAGUGGAAUUCCGAGUGUAGAGGUGAAAUUCGUAGAUAUUCGGAAGAACACCAGUGGCGAAGGCGGCUUACUGGCUCAUACUGGACGCUGAGGUGCGAAAGCGUGGGGAGCAAACAGGAUUAGAUACCCCAGUAGUCCCUGUCUCUUAUAU
Molecule: ribosomal RNA, 301 nt
Filed under: uncultured bacterium
Lineage: Bacteria
Description: partial 16S ribosomal RNA
Rfam family: Bacterial small subunit ribosomal RNA
Source: RNAcentral